Small nuclear RNA from Accipiter nisus (Eurasian sparrowhawk), 149 nucleotides. Its record names the gene U12. It matches the Rfam family "U12 minor spliceosomal RNA". From Rfam's summary of the family: Although the U12 sequence is very divergent from that of U2, the two are functionally analogous. Lineage: Eukaryota; Metazoa; Chordata; Aves; Accipitriformes; Accipitridae. The record is from Ensembl.
AUGCCUUAAACUUAUGAGUAAGGAAAAUAACGACCCGGGGUGACGCCCGGGUCCUCACUACACAUGUGAGAGGAAUUUUUGUGCGGGUACAGGUCGUCCCCGGGUGGCCCGCUUACUUCGCGGGAUGCCCGGGUGCUAUGAUCUGCCCG